GACGAACGCUGGCGGCGUGCUUAACACAUGCAAGUCGAACGGAAAGGCCAUGCUUUUGUGGGGUGCUCGAGUGGCGAACGGGUGAGUAACACGUGAGUAACCUGCCCUUGACUUUGGGAUAACUUCAGGAAGCUGCGGCUAAUACCGGAUAGGAGCUCCUGCUGCAUGGUGGGGGUUGGAAAGUUUCGGCGGUUGGGGAUGGACUCGCGGCUUAUCAGCUUGUUGGUGGGGUAGUGGCUUACCAAGGCUUUGACGGGUAGCCGGCCUGAGAGGGUGACCGGCCACAUUGGGACUGAGAUACGGCCCAGACUCCUACGGGAGGCAGCAGUGGGGAAUAUUGCACAAUGGGCGGAAGCCUGAUGCAGCAACGCCGCGUGCGGGAUGACGGCCUUCGGGUUGUAAACCGCUUUCGCCUGUGACGAAGCGUGAUUGACGGUAAUGGGUAAAGAAGCACCGGCUAACUACGUG
RNAcentral lists this ribosomal RNA (468 nucleotides) under uncultured bacterium. RNAcentral describes it as "partial 16S ribosomal RNA". It matches the Rfam family "Bacterial small subunit ribosomal RNA", at positions 28 to 507 of the family's 1533-position model. The record is from RNAcentral.